Molecule: non-coding RNA, 45 nt
Filed under: Schistosoma margrebowiei
Lineage: Eukaryota; Metazoa; Platyhelminthes; Trematoda; Strigeidida; Schistosomatidae
Source: RNAcentral
AUCCAGCUGACGAUUCCCGAAUAGGACGAAACGCGCAUCCUGGAU